This 381-nucleotide ribosomal RNA is filed under the name uncultured eukaryote. RNAcentral describes it as "SSU rRNA". It matches the Rfam family "Eukaryotic small subunit ribosomal RNA", at positions 587 to 972 of the family's 1831-position model. The record is from RNAcentral.
AGCUCCAAUAGCGUAUAUUAAAGUUGUUGCGGUUAAAAAGCUCGUAGUUGGAUUUCUGCCGAGGAUGACCGGUCCGCCCUGUGGGUGUGCAUCUGGCUCAGCCUUGGCAUCUUCCUGAAGAACGUAGCUGCACUUGACUGUGUGGUGCGGUAUUUAGGACAUUUACUUUGAGGAAAUUAGAGUCUUUCAAGCAAGCGCACGCUUUGAAUACAUUAGCAUGGAAUAAUAAGAUAGGACCUCGGUUCUAUUUUGUUGGUUUCUAGAGCUGAGGUAAUGAUUGAUAGGGAUAGUUGGGGGCAUUCGUAUUUAACUGUCAGAGGUGAAAUUCUUGGAUUUGUUAAAGACAAACUAUUGCGAAAGCAUUUGCCAAGGAUGUUUUCU